This 29908-nucleotide long non-coding RNA is filed under the name Coffea arabica (coffee). RNAcentral's name for it is "long non-coding RNA (CARA_LNC000229)". Lineage: Eukaryota; Viridiplantae; Streptophyta; Magnoliopsida; Gentianales; Rubiaceae. The record is from RNAcentral.
UGAAGAAUUUGAUGUGCUUUUAAUUAGACACGAAGUGAAACCAAGAAGAAAUGAAGCAAAAUUAAGAACGAACAAGAAAAGAGGCAAUAAAAGGAAGUCCACGGUUUAGCCGGCUAGAAAAAAGACUACACUAGCUUGACUGCUGGCUGCAACUAGAUUCUUCAAGCUUGCAGAAACCAGCCAGAGUCGGCGUCGGUACCAGUUUUGCUCAUCAUCAUCGGCUUCCCGGCCAGUUUCUAUGGCGGUUAAGGUUUCUUCCUAGCGUUUUCCUCAAAAUUUCUCCUAAUUUUGGUGAAAUUGAAAUUUUUACACAGUAUCUAUAGCAACUUUGAAAUGAAUUGUGAACCAUAUCUUGAGAAUAUUUAUUUAAACCUACUUUUGGCCAGUAGAUGAAACCUAUGAUUUACCAUUACAUAGAGAGAAUUCUAACCUGCAUAUGAGAUACAUGUUAACUCUGUAAUCUAUUUAAACCCUUAUAAGAAGUUAUGAUCAUGUAUGAAUUUCUGACCUAUAAACGUGAACUUGUCUUCAAUUUUUUUCAACUAGAUAUCAUCAACAGCUUGUCAUUUUUGCUUCUUACAAACUUAAUAGAAUUUCCAAGCUCUCGAUAUGAUGCCUGGUUGUUUGUGUGGCAAUUACUUACAUUUUCCUCUGUUCAUUUGUAGUCGCCUUAACCAAAAUUUGCUUGGCAAGUUUCCCUUGAUUCCAAAAUCAUGGAGUCUUCCCCUUCUUCCACUAUUUCCAUUUAUUACUAAAAGUUUUUUUUUUUUUUGUCGUAACGGCAUAUCUAGCAUAAUCUAAUCCACUUCUACUCUUGGGGGGAACCUAUUCUACGGGGUGGCUCAACUGAGUUGGGGAAACCUGACGGAGACUGAACUAUUAUCAGACCAGACGGGUGCAUCACACACCCGUAUAGAAUUAGAACAAACCUCAUAUUGAGACACAUUGAUGGGAGGCAAGAUUUGAACCCUUGACUACCCACCCCACAAUUAAUGUGGUGGCCAACUCCUCUAGAGGGAGUUGGUUUUAGGUCAAUUUAUUACUAAAAGUUUGUUUUAGGCCAAUUUGCAGCAUCUAUACUAUCCUAAUCUAUAAAGAAGGAAAAUCUAAUUGAGUUGUAUAGGGAUUAUAUAGAAGACAGACCAAUCUAGACCAAAAAGGUAAUCUGGCACAUCCUUUAAAUUUUUUAACUAAAAGGGUGCGAAGCUUGAACCUCCAAUCUACGACCCAAAAUGGGAUUUUUAAUCCAAAUUGACGUAUACCAAGCUGCCUGCGGCACCUGUUGCAAAAUCAGCCAUAUCUAUCCUUCCUACCAUUAGUUACGUAAAAAGGUUCAGGUAGACAGAUUCCAUGUUUAAACAGUAAAGCAAACAGAUGUGAUAAUGAAUAUGUUGUGCUACCAUGGACUAUUGCAGUCUGUCAGCAAUAGGUCGCAUAAACUAUUGCAGUUUGUCACUGAUAGACAUUAGACCCUAUAUCAGAUACUAGAAAUUAAUUAAUCAGGGAGGCCUUAUUGCAAAUCGCUUAGAGACUUUAUCCUCUGCAAUCUUGUCUAAAAGCGGUACACUGAGGAAGGAAGCUUAGCUAGGAACCUCUGUACAUUUACCCUUUGCAAAGCUUUCGGACAAGGUAAAUCUAUUUGCAUGGUUAUUCAACCUUCACCCAGUCUUGCUUUCGUCUCUUUCCAAACUCGAUGGAAAGGCCUGCCAUUAGCUGCUUGAAAGCGGCAGCUUAUUCUGUGUGCUCCACCAAAAUAUAUUUUCAGGUGUCCUUCUUUUUCUUUUUCUUUUUUUAUUUUUUAUUUUUUGGUCAUCUAAAUUAGCUUUUUAGACUUGAAAAGACCAAUUCACAAUGAAAGUUCAUUUAAAUAACAUUAAACAAAAAAGUUAAAACUCUAAAAUCCAUAUUAAACUAAAUCCGCAAGUAGCAAAAAUAAAAAAUAUGAUUGCAUGUUUUCCAGCUCAACACUAGUAAAGUGAAAGGGCCUCAAUCGCUACUAUUGUAGAAGGCUCACAUGCUUCAAAGCGGUUAAGGUUUCACAUUUCCUCUUCCUUUAAAUUUUUAAAGAGAAUGUUCCAUGGGGAAAUUCAGGUUCGUCGUCUUUUUGCAGAAACAUCAUGUAGCAAGACCUGUAUUGAGAGAAAUAGAUCUCAGCUUGAAAAAAUGUCGAUUAUAGCAGUGGAGGAAUCAAGGGUUCAUGAAGGUUGAUUGGAAAGACAUUCUCCAGGGGGAUUUAUCCUGUUGAUUGUUCGCUGAACUCUAUUUCCUCAACUCCAGCAGUAGCAGGUUGCUCUGACUGCUCGGAUGCCGCUGAAGAGGGUUGCCUUACCCCAGGACCUGAAGACACCUUGACCAUAGCUGGUCUUAAAAGUCGGUCCACAAGGAGAAAACCACGACGGAACUCUUCAAUUAUAACACCCUCCUUGAACUCUUCAGACUCCUCUUGGGCAAUAGCCUCGUGUAACUGAAUCACGAGAAAGAAUGCACAUGGUAAGUCACAUCACAAAAGAUGUAGUACUGCAUUUUCAUAGCAAGGAAACACUUAGUUCAACUAUCCCCAGCCAAUCAUGAUUUUAGUUUAACCUAGCUCAUCAACUUCCACGUAUACAAAGCAACUAGCACGUCAAUAGAUUUGCAGAUGCUAGCUUUCAACCAAAUGAAAGGGUCAAAAGAUCAAAGAGAGAUUUAUCCUGGAAAACAUAGCCUCAAAGUAGAGGCACCCCAGAUUUAAUUUAGCAGUAAACCAACAUGACAGAUUGCUAACACACCACACCUCUAAGUAUGUCGGUAUGUAUGUUUUUCUGUACUCUAUAUCUAGUAAGAUCAUUGUAUUAUAUGUAUUCUAUUUUUGGUCAAACAUUGUCAUAGAUAUGCAGACAGGUAAUUAGUGUUGGAACUAGUCUCAAGAAAAAUUCAGAUGAAACAAUAUGCAGAUGAUGCGGGGGUGCUUGAGCUUUUCUUUUUUGACAUUCCAGGCUGCUUGCACCACAGGAAAGAGUAAUGGCAGUUAUUCUGUCUUUUUGCAUCAGAAGAAUGUUUCUCAUAUUUGCCCCUAACAAGCUUGUCCCAUAAAAAAUGCAGUACAAGCAAACACAGUGCAUACACAGCCAAUAUUUGUCACUAAAAUCAUCAUGUGACUUUAUUAUCCAGAUUAUUCCUCAAAGUUACUUGCCAUGUUUUUAACACAGUAGGAAUAGAAAAAGCACAGGAAAGAAAAUCCAUAGCUUUACAGGUACAUAGUAACUACCAUGGAUGUUUCGAGGACUUGCAUAUGAAUGUAAACUACAGGUAAUUAUUAUCAUUAAUUUUAUGGCAACACUGCCAAAGACACCAAGAUGGGUAUGGAAUCGUUCAUUUAUGCUCAUAUCCAAGUAACAUGUCGAGAAAAUACAAUAUUGCAUGACUGACUAUUACUCUCUAAUAGUGCAUAGAAACAAAAAGAGUAUAAGAAGAGAAAAGAAAUGAGGUGUAGGGAUAUUACCACACCCAAAAGACAGUUUUUUCAACCAUGAAAGAGACUGCACCCUUCUUUCCCUCUUUUUUCUGUUCUAAGGUUCAUCAUUACCUUUAAUAUGCCCAAAACCUCAGAUUAAGUGUCGAAUACUGAUCCUAGUGUGAUGUCAUCUCUGACAUGGGUACUGCUUGGGGGAAGAAGAAUAUAUAAAAGAGACUACCAGGAUUUAGAAAAUGAAAAUAACAUUUGUAAAGGUAUUGAAGUUUCAAAUUGAGAAACAUAACAUUUACCAAGAACAAAAACUAAAAUUUCAGGUGAGCAAGGACCAGAUGAAUGCUGUGAGCAUCUAUGCAUCUAUUCUCUACUUUCACCCUUAACUUCAGUAACAAAUUAGCUGUGUAUCAUUCAUUAAGCAUAUUGUGCCACGUGUAAUGGAUCAUUCAUCUCACCAAUUAGGAUUGUCGUCCAAUUUCAAUCCCAAACACCUUUCCAUAAAUACAUUUAAGUUGCUAUAAGCAUAAAGACGAGGUUAAUGCUGAAUCACUUCUAAGCACAAGCUUUUCCUCCAUAUGCAUCAUCAUUUUAAUUAAAUAAGCAAUGCACCAUCUUUUGUAGAUGAACAGAAAAGAUGCUUUUAAAACCCUACAUGGCUGACAAAUUGGGCUGCACCAAAACUUAAUGCAUAGUAUUGGCUCCAGGUCUAAAUGGAACAUUUUUUUUUAAAAAAAAAACCUAAGAUCAUGUGGAACAUAGCGAUAAAUAAUAUGAUCACUGUGUACAGCAACUCAACAUCCAAUUGUUCUUGAGAAAAAUUUGCCGGACAGAGGUGGUGGUGCAAGUAAGAGGGGAAUUACCUUAACCCACGAUCUAAGUCUAGGCCUUUAGGGAAAACCAAGAGAAAACCUUGAAUAAGGGGCUAAUUUAUCACCAACCCCGAAUUUCUAUGAUAUUACCUAAAAGAAGACAGAGUUUCAUUAAAGAUCAAAAUCACAUCACAAACCCAGAAAGGCUAGAUUUAUAGUAGUCCAACUCCAAAGAAGAGCCUCUAUCUACUUAGUUUUCCAAAUGUUCCUUCCAAAAAUUUAACUUAUGCAAUGAGAUUGAGAACAAAAGAUAACAGCUAUUGAUGACGUAGAGAAGAGAAUGCAGCGAGAAAGAACAGUGGCAUCACUAGAUUUGGGCAUGUACAUUUGGAAAAACUUGAUUUGUUCUUGUUAGCAAAUCUGCAAAAUUUUCCUAAAUUGAUAGGUAGAAGAGAGGAUUGCAGUCAGCAGUGGAAAGGAGAGAGAGCACAUAAUGGAUUUGCUAGCAAGGAGUAAGUAGAGUCAGUGAAGGACAAAGGGGGAGAGGGAGAAAGUGAAAAGAAAUGAUUGAAUAAAUAAUUCUCCUAGAAGGUCACAAAUCAAAUUUGGGAACUGAGCAAAACCCUCCAGUUUGUUAGGGAUCAAGAAUUCCUGGUUUUUGGGGUUCAUCCCAAAAUUUUUGAAGCCCAUAGUUGUUAUCUGUAACGGAUUUAUUUCACUUCCUGAUUCCAAUUUCUCUUAGAUAAAUACUAAGAUCCAAAACCAACAAAUCAAUUAAGCCAUGAACAAUCUUGAACCCAAAAAAAAGAAAAAAACACACAGACAAUGCUAGAAGUAACUUAUAAGACCUAAAACACAGCACCACAACCACUUCCAGUGACUUGAUAUGCACAAAGAAAGUGUGGCCUAUCAGCUUUAUUACCAGGAUCGAUGAAUGAUUUCAGAGGGCACACCUUAACCUGAGGAGAUUUGUUGAUAAAAGUAUCUAAUUUACUCAAUGACCAUUUCCACAAGGGCGGGCAAAUCCUUGAUAAAUAGUUUGCCUUCAUAUUUUCUUUAGAAGGUUAGGCAAUAAGCAAAUCACAUGGUUGGAAAUUCUUGAUGACUUGGAUGCAAUCCAUGGGCUUUAAUUUGACACCUUUUCAAUUUCCAAUUGUAUCUCAACUGUCCUAACUGGCAUAUUGCUUGCUUUUCUCAUGUUUAUUUUUAGGUCACAAUCAUGGAGACAGGAAACCCCAUCUCUAAUUCUUCUGUUAAUAGUAAUGGAGGCUUUCAGUAAACAGCAGCAACUAACAUUGCAGACAACUAUUACAAAAAAGAUUCUAAGCUAGAAGAAUUACAAGUAAACACUGAAAGUUUCAGAUGAAUUUUCCAGUGACACUCAAUCUCUCGUCAGGCAGAUUAAAAGCAGUUUAUUGCCUUGAAAAUUUCGUUUUAUUUCAUGGUUCCAAGUGUUCAAAGAGUAGGGUAAACAAAGAAAUUUGAUCUCUGGAUGAGAGGUUCAUUGCAUAUGGAGAUUUAACACUAAGUUUGGGUUGGGACAUUGGGCCAAAUGUAACAAAGUAUUACGGGGUACAUUCGUGGUAAAUUUCAUUUUCUGGAAGCUGGAACAGAUGAUAGUUACCUAAACAAAGAAACUUACUCCCAGAUUUAUUAGGGAGGAAGAGACAAUAUUUGGCUUUUCUUUUGUGUGUGGGGGGGAAUACACCUUUUAAAAACUUUCGGCCUUCAUAAUGUAAAUACCCCUUAUUUUCAGAGAAAAGAAUUUCUUAUGGGUGGCAUUGCAAGUGGAAGGACAUUUCUGAUAAGUUGGAAGUAUGUCAGGCCAAUUAUAGGGCAGAUUAAUCAUUCUUGUUCUGAGAGUUGCAACUGAUGCUUGGUUACAAAAAGUUACCAAACAAAAUGCUACAUGGAGAAGCCCAACGGCCUGAAAGUUUAAGUUUUAAGAUGAAAACUGCUAUGAAAUGCUCCUUUACAAAAGAAUCGGAGAUUGACAGGAAUCAAGAAUUUCCAAACUUGUCUAUCUAAGAUAAAUCACUACUAUACAAAAAGCCUUUUCUUGGAAAUCAAGUAUGCCAAAGCACAUGAAUUCCAAACCUAUUCUUUAAAACUUUUAAUAGUUUGGGUGCUAUUGAUCAUGUUGCAGAAAUUGAGGCAAGAAUGACCUCUUGCAAAAAAAUAAACAACAGGAACUUACAAGACAAAAUGAAUCGUGUUCAGCAGCUAAUCUAGGACCUAAGGAACUUCAAUCUCAAAUUGCUAGCUCUCCGAGCUUCGUACUUUUAAUUUCAUCCAGUUGAGUAUUCUCAGCAUGAAAAAAAUCUCAGUCCAUAUGCAUUUUUUGUAGUAGCAUUGUAUUUCUCAAUUACAAUCAUGAAGAACAAUGCUAUUGUGUAUCUUUCCACAUGGAUGCAAACAUUCAACACCACAAAACAUUAGAUGGUAACUGUAAAACCUGACAAGUUCAACGCCAACUUUCUAGGUCUGAUCUUUCUUUUCCACAUUUUUUAUCCCUCAAGCUUGUCACCUCAAAAUUUAAGUGUCCAUCAUCACUCAACAGUCACAACCACAACAGCCUAUUUUCACUUUCUUGGUGCUGUAUUUCAGCUUCCAUUGCAGUUUAUAAAGUUGUCCUGAUUGGAGAGAAGGAAAUAGAGCUUUUGGGGGUGUACCAAGACAGUAUGAAUAUGAAAAUUAUACUGCCUUCACCCAAAACUGAAGGCCAUAGUUCGACUAAAGAGAAUAUGAAUAAAAAAAACUGAAUAACAUAAUAGCCCAAAGAGAGUGUGAACAGAAUACAGGAAUUCCAAUACAGAGUUAGCAAAAAACAUGUAGAUGAACCCUUUAAUCAUUUCUGUUAUACACAAAGAGUACAUCAAAUGAAGAAAUAUCAAAGAAAACAACAAUUCUUUUUGGGGAGGCCAAAACAAGAAAUCAGAAUUCGAAACACCAGGGAGUUUAUAAUUCUCCAUACUUUCUUGGAGUAGGCAAUCUUGUGAAUUCAUGGACGUAUAACAAAUAUACUUCCAAAACAGCCUACUUUUCUUGCAAAAAUGAUUGCAACCCAUAAUAGUGGUUCAGUUCUUAUAGGCUUGGUUUACAACCUGGCCAACUAUCAUAGUACUUCUAGGUGGAUAACUAAUCCAGUCAAACUAGGAUACCAGGUCCUGAUUUAAUAUGUAAGGGGAUCCAAUACUGUAUCUUCAUUACAGUUGCUCCAGCAUCAUUUCUUUCUCGUCGAGUCUCAGCCUGACGGCCUACUCAAGGGUUUCCCACCAAUAAUCAACUAAAUUUGGAAAACCAAAACUUCGCUAAAUUUCUAAGCAUUAGCACAUUUAUUCACCAAAAAUUAUUUAGCCCCUCAGACUAGAGGGUACGUUUGCUUAUCUGGGUUGAGGUCUCAGUUUUACCAUCUGCAUCAAAGUUUUGAAAGAGUUCAUAAGUGGCUAAAUCUGCCACCAACCAAUCAGUUAUAGAUCCUGCUGAAAGUAAGAAAAAAGAAAUCAGCAGGAAUGCUGGAAGCAAUAAGAGUGUUGGCUUACCAUAGGAUCAAAUAAUGUCCCAACAGUUGGUACAACAGAUACACCCAAGUUCUUCAUGAUUUCUACAAAUUGCUUGUAUAUGCCCUGAUAACUUGCAUCAAUUUUCUUUUCCUGCUCUGUCUCUAGUUUGAUAUGUUGCUUGGCUCGUUCAAAGUUAUCUACCAUAGGCAAGAGACUCUCAAUCACUUCUCCCUGGGCAUUACUCCUUAUUGUUAGCUUCUCAUUCUCUGUUCUCUUCCUGAAGUUGUCAAAAUCUGCUUGCAAACGAACAUACUUGUCCUUCUGAGCACCAAUUUCAUCUGACAAAACAGAAACCUUUUCUAACAACUCAUUCCUCUCCUUUUCUACCAUGUGUAUUAUCUCUUCAAAAUCGGAUAUACUUUUCUCAUCUCCAUUUAAAAUGGCCUCCUUAUAAGCUGAGAUAGUAGACUCCAAUCUUGAAGGAAGUUCUUGGUCCGCUUCCUCUUCUGUUUUACUGAGAGGAGUCUCAUCUUCAUCAUCAGUCUAUCAUGUAUCACAUUGAUAUUAUUAAGCAUGCAAUGGCAGCUAUAAAAGUACUCAAAAUUUCUACCAUUAUACAGAAAAUUUAUAUGGUUGAUGAAAAAUUACCAUUACUUGUUACCUUUGUAAAUGAACUGAACAUUGCAUGAGAUAAGAACCAAUAAUAGGUUCAAAACAGAGACACUGACAGAGGAAGCGAUCUCUAAACUUUGAAGUAUGAGACACACACUGUAAAGUAUACAGACAUGGUACACUAACUCUCUCUCUCUCUCUCUCUCUCUGUUUUGAUUCAUUGGUGGUGGUGUAAGGGGAACUCAACUUAACCUCGUCCCGUUUUAAUAGUUUUUGAAAAAAGAGACAAACAAAACUUCAUUUUUCAGCAGCAGCCUUGAAGCCAGCAAGAAACACUAUGAAUGAAAUACUUACUUACAAUUCCUGUCAAUAAGUUGAUUUAGUAAUUUCUCUGAAAGCAGACACCUUAAAGCAAAAUUGAUGAAAGAAAAGAUGUAUCUGUUCACUGUAUUUUGACCAAAUUCCAGCAGAUUUGCACAAUUUUUUAGAAUAAAAAAUCAACUAAAAUAACAACAUCUUUGUUCAUGUUUACAUAUCUAUACUUGAAAUUCAGCUUGUAAUUCCCCAAAAUCAAGCCUGCUUACCAAUAACCAAUAUCAAAAUUUAAUAAAUGAAUCUAAGAUACAUAAAGAAUCAAAAUUGGCUUCGACUAAACACACCAAGCCAAGAAAGAACAUCAGCCACAACUUCCAUCACGAGUUAAAAGCAACUAAACAAAAAAAAAAUUACUUCGGAAGCGGAGUCUUCGGAUUGUGACUGAGAAGCUUUAAGAAAUCGGCAUCUCCUGCUGCUGUUGUUAUUGAUUACCGGAAUGUUUGCAUUUUUGGGCAAACAAAAACAAAAGCCUCUGGAGGAAAUGGGUUUCAAGGGAAAAUGGGUUUGGAAAUAAUUUGAAGAAGAUGAAGGAAGGGAUGGGCGAUGAGGAGAAGCAUAUGAACAAAGAUAAGCUGUUGAAGCUGAAGCUGUUGGUGCCGCCGCCAUAGAAGUUUCUAGUAUUAUCACUGAAGAUUGAAAGGGAGGAGUCUGGUAAUUUCACACCAAGCGGAGGAAGAAGAAGGUGGAGUUGGUGUAGGGGUUUUGGGAUAAGAGAAAACGAUGUCGUUAAGUCAGAAAGCCGAAAACGACAAAAAAGAAUAAAAUAAAAACAAAAGGCCCAACUUAGCCUUAUUCUAGAUACAUCUUCACGCGUGUGCUGCAUUUUCUGGUCUCUCACUAGCGCCAAAACAGCUGCAUUUGAGUUGAGUUCAACAGUUGACAACUCGAAUUUUAACUAAAAUAUCGCUGAGUUUUUAGAAACCGAAUCGUGCUAGCUCGAUUUUAGUUUAACUUUUCUUUUUUGCCGUAACUGCACGUUUAACAUAACCUAACCUACUCUUACUUCUACCAGGGGAACCUACUCUAUAAGAUGGCUUAAUUGAGUCAGAAAACCUGACGAGAACUGAACAAUCAUUAAACUAAACGGAUGCACCACACACUCAAUGGAUUUUGAACUCUUAACCUCCCACCCCACAAUAAAUGCGAUGACCAAUUCCUCUUGAGGGAGUUUUAGUUUAACUUGAGUUCAUAAAAAUUCGAGAUCGAGCUAGAUCGAUUUUAGUUUUACUUGAGUUUGAACUUAAGUUAAUUGAGUUUGAUGAAAUCUAAUCAAGUUUAAUGGAGUCUAUUCAAUCUAAUCAAAUUCACCUAAUAAAAUGAUAUUUCGAUAUUUCGCUUGUAUUAUAAACACAUUUUUUAAUUUACUUUUUUCUAUUUUCAACCAUUUUUUUUAUCUCACGUACAUCAUAUCACAAAAAAUGUUACAGUAAUUAUUUCAAAUAAUACUCUAUCUUACAUAUAAUUUUAAACAAAGAAUAUAAUCGAUAUUUUACAAUAAUAAACAUAAAAAAUAAAAAUAAUAUAUAUGUGUGUGUAUGUGGGUGCAUGUGUGUGUGUGUCGGUUAGAUUUGUCAAGCUUACAAGUUUAGAAAUAUAAUACUCAAGCACGAUUUUUAAGUAUUUUGAAGUUGUUUAAACUUGACUCGAGUUUAGUCAAUGUCUAACUCAAGCCGGAUAGUUGAGUUAGUUACUCGCGAAUUUGAGUCUAAUAGCUUGAUCAACUCGCAGUCCUAGUUUACUGAACGACUACUUGACCCGUGAAAGGGAAAAGUGACCCGACCGGUAGUAUUGAUUGAACACAAAUUUGAACUGUAUCCAUCCGUAGUUAUAAAUCAAUAUGGGUGGGUAAGGGUCAAGUAUGCGCUCCAUGCAUCACUUGACCGAUGUCAGGAUAUGAAAUUGUUGAAUUGAGAUUAAUUGGGUAUAUUUCAAUUAAAGGUCAAAACGAUGUCGUUUGGGUUAGUAGUUAGUUAAAGUAGUUACUUAGCAAUUGCAGGUUGUUAAGUUUGUUAUAAGUAGAGGACCCACGCAUGAGAGAUACAGACUUUGUUUUUGGUAAUCAGAUGUAUUUCAAUUCCUCUUUCUAAAUUCUAUUUCUUCCCCAUUCUCUCUGAUUCUCUCCCUCUCUGCAAUCUUCAGCUCAUUUCCCAACUUAAUCCCCAAUCGUAACUCAGAUAUAAACAAUUGCACUUAAGUUCCUGACAAAUUGGUAUCAGAGCAAGAGAUCCUUGGAAAUUACCAUUAGCAAUGGCAGAAGGCACUAGAUUCCGGUCAUUGGAGGAGCAAGUUAAGAAACAAGAAAUCAAGCUGCAGGAAUUGGUAGAAUCUCUCCAUACAUCACAGUCGGAGCAGCAGCAAAUUAAAAAGGAAUUGAAACAGGAACUGGAGGAGAGUAGCAAACGGAUGGAAGGCCUAUUAUUAGGUAUGGAGCAGAAUUUUCUCAAAAUUUUGGAGCAAAAGCUGAACAAUCUUCUGCUAAGGACUCCUAUGAAGGAGAAGACUACUGAAGGGGAUGGAAGAUUGCCAGUAGAUCAGACGCCACUGUUACCAACUCCACCAGCUCACUGCAGGAUACAACCUGAAGGCGAAGCUCAGAAACUCUUCAAGAAGGACUGGAGUAAGUUUCAGAUUCCAAAUCCUCCUAAAAUUGAUUUACAGCUAUUUUCUGGAGAACAUCCUAGGGUUUGGCUGAGGAAAUGUAAUAAAUACUUUUUGAAUUAUCAAGUUCCACACGAGCAUAAAAUUGAAAUCAUUGAAAUGUAUCUGGAUGGCAAGGCUGACAAAUGGUUCCAAGGUGUAAAAAUUGAAAAGCCUAGAUUAGGAUGGGAGGAAUUUGAAGAUAUGUUAUGUAGGAGGUUUAAUGAUAGAUCGUGUAAGGAUAUAGUGGAAGAAUUCAAUAAACUGCAACAAGUAGGCAGUAUCGAGGACUAUCAGGAGAGAUUUGAGGAGCUGAAGCCUUUGAUGAUGAUCAAAAAUAGAAACCUGGAUGAAAACUAUUUUAUUUCCAGUUUCAUAAGUGGACUUAAGGAAGAAAUUAAGCCUGUGGUCAGGAUGCUGAAACCUGCCACACUAUCUGAAGCCUUCGAGCUAUCUCAAUGGCAAGAGCAAGUCAUAAGAAUCCAGAAUAAAAGCUCCAAGGAAAACACCAGGCCAAUGGGAGAAAACAAAUUUGGCAUAACCAGAAGUGCUAACACUUCUGUUGGAACAAAUUCUUACAAGGUCCCUGCCACUAGCAAUUUUAAGCACACUAAGUUUAGGAGUUCACCAGGGGAUACUAAGGAACCAGCAAAGUUGUCUGCUCAGGAGUUGCAGUAUAGGAGGAGUAAUGGAUUGUGUUUCAGGUGCGGAGAGAAGUAUGGAAUGGGACAUCAGUGUAGAGUGGGUCACUCAAAUUGUAUGACACUGGAAGAGGAGGAGGAUUCUGCAUUUGAGGAUGCCCUUGGAGAACAAGAUGAACAGACUGGGAAUCCUGGACAGGCCAUGGAAGUGUCACUGCAUGCUUUAUCUGAGGCUCUUAAGAGAAAAACUAUUACACUCUCUGGAAUCUUAGAUGGGGAGGAAGUACUGAUAUUGGUGGACACUGGGAGCUCAGACAGCUACAUUAGCAGUGAGCUUGUAAUUGGGAUGGACAUAGGCUAUCAGUGGGUGGAUCAACCAUUCUCUGUCAUAAUGGGGAAUGGAUCAUGUGUCACCAGCAAUGCAAUAUGCAAUGGGGUGCAGUGGAGGAUUAAUCAACACAACUUCAGGUAUAACCUCAAGGUAAUGGAACUGGGAGGUUGGGACAUAAUCCUAGGAGUGGACUGGAUGACACACUUCAGUCCCAUCACAUUCGACUUCCAACAACUCAGGAUAUCCCUGCACCAUGAAGGAGAUGAAAUCCAUCUACAUGGCCAAGCCGAUAACUGUGACAUGGAUUUGAUCAGGGGCAAGGACUUAAGAACAUUUAUAGAAUACAAGAAACAGAUGUGUAUGGCUAUGUGUGGCCAAUAGGAAAAAGACAGACAAGGGAAGUCAGAAACCACACCUCAAGAGGUAGAGGCCCUGCUACAGGACUAUAAGGAUGUCUUCCAGACUCCUAGCUCAUUACCCCCAAGUAGGAGCGUAGACCAUGAGAUUCCUCUCAAACAGGAGGCUCAGCCAUUCAAACUUAAGCCUUACAGAUAUCCUCACUGUCACAAGGAGGAGAUAGAGAGACAGGUUACUGAAAUGCUGCAGAAAGGUAUUGUGAAACACAGUAACAGCCCCUUUGCCUCCCCUGUACUACUAGUCAAGAAGAAGGAAGGCACCUGGAGGUUUUGUGUGGACUACAGGAAGCUGAAUGAGAUCACUAUUAAAGACAGAUUUCCAAUACCCAAUGUAGAUGAACUGUUGGAUGAGUUAUCAGGAGCUGUGUUCAAAACCAAGUUAGCAAUGGAGGCUUUCAGUAAACAGCAGCAACUAACAUUGCAGACAACUAUUACAAAAAAGAUUCUAAGCUAGAAGAAUUACAUGUAAACACUGAAAGUUUCAGAUGAAUUUUCCAGUGACACUCAAUCUCUCGUCAAGCUGAUUAAAAGCAGUAUUAUUGCCUUGAAAAUUUCGUUUUAUUUCAUGGUUCCAAGUGUUCAAAGAGUAGCGUAAGCAAAGAAAUUUGAUCUCUGGAUGAGAGGUUCAUUGCAUAUGGAGAUUUAACACUAAGUUUGGGUUGGGACAUUGGGCCAAAUGUAACAAAGUAUUACGGGGUACAUUCGUGGUAAAUUUCAUUUUCUGGAAGCUGGAACAGAUGAUAGUUACCUAAACAAAGAAACUUACUCCCAGAUUUAUUAUGGAGGAAGAGACAAUAUUUGGCUUUUCUUUUGGGUUGGGGGGGGAGGGGGGGGAAUACACCUAUUAAAAACUUUUGGCCUUCAUAAUGUAAAUACCCCUUAUUUUCAGAGAAAAGAAUUUCUUAUGGGUGGCAUUGCAAGUGGAAGGACAUUUCUGAUAAGUUGGAAGUAUGUCAGGCCAAUUAUAGAGAAGAUUAAUCAUUCUUGUUCUGAGAGUUGUAACUGAUGCUUGGUUACAAAAAGUUACCGAACAAAAUGCUACAUGGAGAAGCCCAACGGCCUAAAAGUUUAAGUUUUAAGAUGAAAACUGCUAUGAAAUGCUCCUUUACAAAUGAAUCGGAGAUUGACAGGAAUCAAGAAUUUCCAAACUUGUCUAUCUAAGAUAAAUCACUACUAUACAAAAAGCCUUUUCUUGGAAAUCAAGUAUGCCAAAGCACAUGAAUUCCAAACCUAUUCUUUAAAACUUUUAAUAGUUUGGGUGCUAUUGUUCAUGUUGCAGAAAUUGAGGCAAGAAUGACCUCUUGCAAAAAAAUAAACAAGAGGAACUUACAAGACAAAAUGAAUCGUGUUCAGCAGCUAAUCUAGGACCUAAGGAACUUCAAUCUCAAAUUGCUAGCUCUCCAAGCUUCGUACUUUUAAUUUCAUCCAGUUGAGUAUUCUCAGCAUGAAAAAUAUCUCAGUCCAUAUGCAUUUUUUGUAGUAGCUUUGUAUUUCUCAAUUACAAUCAUGAAGAACAAUGCUAUUGUGUAUCUUUCCACAUGGAUGCAAACAUUCAACACCACAAACCAUCAGAUGGUAACUGUAAAACUUGACAAGUUCAAUGCCAACUUUCUAGGUCUGAUCUUUCUUUUCCACAUUUUUUAUCCCUCAAGCUUGUCACCUCAAAAUUUAAGUGUCCACCAUCACUCAACAAUCACAACCACAACAGCCUAUUUUCACCUUCUUGGUGCUGUAUUUCAGCUUCCAUUGCAGUUUAUAAAGUUGUCCUGAUUGGAGAGAAGGAAAUAGAGCUUUUGGGGGUGUACCAAGACAGUAUGAAUAUGAAAAUUUUACUGCCUUCACCCAAAACUGAAGGCCAUAGUUCGACUAAAGAGAAUAUGAAUAAAAAAACUGAAUAACAUAAUAGCCCAAAGAGAGUGUGAACAGAAUACAGGAAUUCCAAUAGAGUUAGUGAAAAACAUGUAGAUGAACCCUUUAAUCAUUUCUGUUAUACACAAAGGAUACAUCAAAUGAAGAAAUAUCAAAGAAAACAACAAUUCUUUUUGGGGAGGCCAAAACAAGAAAUCAGAAUUCGAAACACCAGGGAGUUUAUAAUUCUCCAUACUUUCUUGGAGUAGGCAAUCUUGUGAAUUCAUGGACGUAUAACAAAUAUACUUCCAAAACAGCCUACUUUUCUUGCAAAAAUGAUUGCAACCCAUAAUAGUGGUUCAGUUCUUAUAGGCUUGGUUUACAUUGUUUUACAACCUGGCCAACUAUCAUAGUACUUCUAGGUGGAUAACUAAUCCAGUCAAACUAGGAUACCAGGUCCUGAUUUAAUAUGUAAGGGGAUCCAAUACUGUAUCUUCAUUACAGUUGCUCCAGCAUCAUUUCUUUCUCGUCGAGUCUCAGCCUGACGGCCUACUCAAGGGUUCCCCACCAAUAAUCAACUAAAUUUGGAAAACCAAAACUUCACUAAAUUUCUAAGCAUUAGCACAUUUAUUCACCAAAAAUUAUUUAGCCCCUCAGACUAGAGGGUACAUUUGCUUAUCUGGGUUGAGGUCUCAGUUUUACCAUCUGCAUCAAAGUUUUGAAAGAGUUCAUAAGUGGCUAAAUCUGCCACCAACCAAUCAGUUAUAGAUCCUGCUGAAAGUAAGAAAAAAGAAAUCAGCAGGAAUGCUGGAAGCAAUAAGAGUGUUGGCUUACCAUAGGAUCAAAUAAUGUCCCAACAGUUGGUACAACAGAUACACCCAAGUUCUUCAUGAUUUCUACAAAUUGCUUGUAUAUGCCCUGAUAACUUGCAUCAAUUUUCUUUUCCUGCUCUGUCUCUAGUUUCAUAUGUUGCUUGGCUCGUUCAAAGUUAUCUACCAUAGGCAAGAGACUCUCAAUCACUUCUCCCUGGGCAUUACUCCUUAUUGUUAGCUUCUCAUUCUCUGUUCUCUUCCUGAAGUUGUCAAAAUCUGCUUGCAAACGAACAUACUUGUCCUUCUGAGCACCAAUUUCAUCUGACAAAACAGAAACCUUUUCUAACAACUCAUUCCUCUCCUUUUCUACCAUGUGUAUUAUCUCUUCAAAAUCGGAUAUACUUUUCUCAUCUCCAUUUAAAAUGGCCUCCUUAUAAGCUGAGAUAGUAGACUCCAAUCUUGAAGGAAGUUCUUGGUCCGCUUCCUCUUCUGUUUUACUGAGAGGAGUCUCAUCUUCAUCAUCAGUCUAUCAUGUAUCACAUUGAUAUUAUUAAGCAUGCAAUGGCAGCUAUAAAAGUACUCAAAAUUUCUACCAUUAUACAGAAAAUUUAUAUGGUUGAUGAAAAAUUACCAUUACUUGUUACCUUUGUAAAUGAACUGAACAUUGCAUGAGAUAAGAACCAAUAAUAGGUUCAAAACAGAGACACUGACAGAGGAAGCGAUCUCUAAACUUUGAAGUAUGAGACACACACUGUAAAGUAUACAGACAUGGUACACUAACUCUCUCUCUCUCUCUCUCUCUCUGUUUUGAUUCAUUGGUGGUGGUGUAAGGGGAACUCAACUUAACCUCGUCCCGUUUUAAUAGUUUUUGAAAAAAGAGACAAACAAAACUUCAUUUUUCAGCAGCAGCCUUGAAGCCAGCAAGAAACACUAUGAAUGAAAUACUUACUUACAAUUCCUGUCAAUAAGUUGAUUUAGUAAUUUCUCUGAAAGCAGACACCUUAAAGCAAAAUUGAUGAAAGAAAAGAUGUAUCUGUUCACUGUAUUUUGACCAAAUUCCAGCAGAUUUGCACAAUUUUUUAGAAUAAAAAAUCAACUAAAAUAACAACAUCUUUGUUCAUGUUUACAUAUCUAUACUUGAAAUUCAGCUUGUAAUUCCCCAAAAUCAAGCCUGCUUACCAAUAACCAAUAUCAAAAUUUAAUAAAUGAAUCUAAGAUACAUAAAGAAUCAAAAUUGGCUUCGACUAAACACACCAAGCCAAGAAAGAACAUCAGCCACAACUUCCAUCACGAGUUAAAAGCAACUAAACAAAAAAAAAAUUACUUCGGAAGCGGAGUCUUCGGAUUGUGACUGAGAAGCUUUAAGAAAUCGGCAUCUCCUGCUGCUGUUGUUAUUGAUUACCGGAAUGUUUGCAUUUUUGGGCAAACAAAAACAAAAGCCUCUGGAGGAAAUGGGUUUCAAGGGAAAAUGGGUUUGGAAAUAAUUUGAAGAAGAUGAAGGAAGGGAUGGGCGAUGAGGAGAAGCAUAUGAACAAAGAUAAGCUGUUGAAGCUGAAGCUGUUGGUGCCGCCGCCAUAGAAGUUUCUAGUAUUAUCACUGAAGAUUGAAAGGGAGGAGUCUGGUAAUUUCACACCAAGCGGAGGAAGAAGAAGGUGGAGUUGGUGUAGGGGUUUUGGGAUAAGAGAAAACGAUGUCGUUAAGUCAGAAAGCCGAAAACGACAAAAAAGAAUAAAAUAAAAACAAAAGGCCCAACUUAGCCUUAUUCUAGAUACAUCUUCACGCGUGUGCUGCAUUUUCUGGUCUCUCACUAGCGCCAAAACAGCUGCAUUUGAGUUGAGUUCAACAGUUGACAACUCGAAUUUUAACUAAAAUAUCGCUGAGUUUUUAGAAACCGAAUCGUGCUAGCUCGAUUUUAGUUUAACUUUUCUUUUUUGCCGUAACUGCACGUUUAACAUAACCUAACCUACUCUUACUUCUACCAGGGGAACCUACUCUAUAAGAUGGCUUAAUUGAGUCAGAAAACCUGACGAGAACUGAACAAUCAUUAAACUAAACGGAUGCACCACACACUCAAUGGAUUUUGAACUCUUAACCUCCCACCCCACAAUAAAUGCGAUGACCAAUUCCUCUUGAGGGAGUUUUAGUUUAACUUGAGUUCAUAAAAAUUCGAGAUCGAGCUAGAUCGAUUUUAGUUUUACUUGAGUUUGAACUUAAGUUAAUUGAGUUUGAUGAAAUCUAAUCAAGUUUAAUGGAGUCUAUUCAAUCUAAUCAAAUUCACCUAAUAAAAUGAUAUUUCGAUAUUUCGCUUGUAUUAUAAACACAUUUUUUAAUUUACUUUUUUCUAUUUUCAACCAUUUUUUUUAUCUCACGUACAUCAUAUCACAAAAAAUGUUACAGUAAUUAUUUCAAAUAAUACUCUAUCUUACAUAUAAUUUUAAACAAAGAAUAUAAUCGAUAUUUUACAAUAAUAAACAUAAAAAAUAAAAAUAAUAUAUAUGUGUGUGUAUGUGGGUGCAUGUGUGUGUGUGUCGGUUAGAUUUGUCAAGCUUACAAGUUUAGAAAUAUAAUACUCAAGCACGAUUUUUAAGUAUUUUGAAGUUGUUUAAACUUGACUCGAGUUUAGUCAAUGUCUAACUCAAGCCGGAUAGUUGAGUUAGUUACUCGCGAAUUUGAGUCUAAUAGCUUGAUCAACUCGCAGUCCUAGUUUACUGAACGACUACUUGACCCGUGAAAGGGAAAAGUGACCCGACCGGUAGUAUUGAUUGAACACAAAUUUGAACUGUAUCCAUCCGUAGUUAUAAAUCAAUAUGGGUGGGUAAGGGUCAAGUAUGCGCUCCAUGCAUCACUUGACCGAUGUCAGGAUAUGAAAUUGUUGAAUUGAGAUUAAUUGGGUAUAUUUCAAUUAAAGGUCAAAACGAUGUCGUUUGGGUUAGUAGUUAGUUAAAGUAGUUACUUAGCAAUUGCAGGUUGUUAAGUUUGUUAUAAGUAGAGGACCCACGCAUGAGAGAUACAGACUUUGUUUUUGGUAAUCAGAUGUAUUUCAAUUCCUCUUUCUAAAUUCUAUUUCUUCCCCAUUCUCUCUGAUUCUCUCCCUCUCUGCAAUCUUCAGCUCAUUUCCCAACUUAAUCCCCAAUCGUAACUCAGAUAUAAACAAUUGCACUUAAGUUCCUGACAAAUUGGUAUCAGAGCAAGAGAUCCUUGGAAAUUACCAUUAGCAAUGGCAGAAGGCACUAGAUUCCGGUCAUUGGAGGAGCAAGUUAAGAAACAAGAAAUCAAGCUGCAGGAAUUGGUAGAAUCUCUCCAUACAUCACAGUCGGAGCAGCAGCAAAUUAAAAAGGAAUUGAAACAGGAACUGGAGGAGAGUAGCAAACGGAUGGAAGGCCUAUUAUUAGGUAUGGAGCAGAAUUUUCUCAAAAUUUUGGAGCAAAAGCUGAACAAUCUUCUGCUAAGGACUCCUAUGAAGGAGAAGACUACUGAAGGGGAUGGAAGAUUGCCAGUAGAUCAGACGCCACUGUUACCAACUCCACCAGCUCACUGCAGGAUACAACCUGAAGGCGAAGCUCAGAAACUCUUCAAGAAGGACUGGAGUAAGUUUCAGAUUCCAAAUCCUCCUAAAAUUGAUUUACAGCUAUUUUCUGGAGAACAUCCUAGGGUUUGGCUGAGGAAAUGUAAUAAAUACUUUUUGAAUUAUCAAGUUCCACACGAGCAUAAAAUUGAAAUCAUUGAAAUGUAUCUGGAUGGCAAGGCUGACAAAUGGUUCCAAGGUGUAAAAAUUGAAAAGCCUAGAUUAGGAUGGGAGGAAUUUGAAGAUAUGUUAUGUAGGAGGUUUAAUGAUAGAUCGUGUAAGGAUAUAGUGGAAGAAUUCAAUAAACUGCAACAAGUAGGCAGUAUCGAGGACUAUCAGGAGAGAUUUGAGGAGCUGAAGCCUUUGAUGAUGAUCAAAAAUAGAAACCUGGAUGAAAACUAUUUUAUUUCCAGUUUCAUAAGUGGACUUAAGGAAGAAAUUAAGCCUGUGGUCAGGAUGCUGAAACCUGCCACACUAUCUGAAGCCUUCGAGCUAUCUCAAUGGCAAGAGCAAGUCAUAAGAAUCCAGAAUAAAAGCUCCAAGGAAAACACCAGGCCAAUGGGAGAAAACAAAUUUGGCAUAACCAGAAGUGCUAACACUUCUGUUGGAACAAAUUCUUACAAGGUCCCUGCCACUAGCAAUUUUAAGCACACUAAGUUUAGGAGUUCACCAGGGGAUACUAAGGAACCAGCAAAGUUGUCUGCUCAGGAGUUGCAGUAUAGGAGGAGUAAUGGAUUGUGUUUCAGGUGCGGAGAGAAGUAUGGAAUGGGACAUCAGUGUAGAGUGGGUCACUCAAAUUGUAUGACACUGGAAGAGGAGGAGGAUUCUGCAUUUGAGGAUGCCCUUGGAGAACAAGAUGAACAGACUGGGAAUCUUGGACAGGCCAUGGAAGUGUCACUGCAUGCUUUAUCUGAGGCUCUUAAGAGAAAAACUAUUACACUCUCUGGAAUCUUAGAUGGGGAGGAAGUACUGAUAUUGGUGGACACUGGGAGCUCAGACAGCUACAUUAGCAGUGAGCUUGUAAUUGGGAUGGACAUAGGCUAUCAGUGGGUGGAUCAACCAUUCUCUGUCAUAAUGGGGAAUGGAUCAUGUGUCACCAGCAAUGCAAUAUGCAAUGGGGUGCAGUGGAGGAUUAAUCAACACAACUUCAGGUAUAACCUCAAGGUAAUGGAACUGGGAGGUUGGGACAUAAUCCUAGGAGUGGACUGGAUGACACACUUCAGUCCCAUCACAUUCGACUUCCAACAACUCAGGAUAUCCCUGCACCAUGAAGGAGAUGAAAUCCAUCUACAUGGCCAAGCCGAUAACUGUGACAUGGAUUUGAUCAGGGGCAAGGACUUAAGAACAUUUAUAGAAUACAAGAAACAGAUGUGUAUGGCUAUGUGUGGCCAACAGGAAAAAGACAGACAAGGGAAGUCAGAAACCACACCUCAAGAGGUAGAGGCCCUGCUACAGGACUAUAAGGAUGUCUUUCAGACUCCUAGCUCAUUACCCCCAAGUAGGAGCGUAGACCAUGAGAUUCCUCUCAAACAGGAGGCUCAGCCAUUCAAACUUAAGCCUUACAGAUAUCCUCACUGUCACAAGGAGGAGAUAGAGAGACAGGUUACUGAAAUGCUGCAGAAAGGUAUUGUGAAACACAGUAACAGCCCCUUUGCCUCCCCUGUACUACUAGUCAAGAAGAAGGAAGGCACCUGGAGGUUUUGUGUGGACUACAGGAAGCUGAAUGAGAUCACUAUUAAAGACAGAUUUCCAAUACCCAAUGUAGAUGAACUGUUGGAUGAGUUAUCAGGAGCUGUGUUCAAAACCAAGUUAGGAAGCUUACAACAAUAACAAAAAAUAAAAUAAUUUUAAAAUGUAAAAAUAUGAAAAUAUGAGCAUUUAUAAAUACAAUAACAAGUAAUUUUGUAGAAAUACAUAACUACUCCUAUUAUUUAGCACAACAAAUGAUGUUUUAACUAUAUAUAUAUAUAUAUGUAUGUAUGUAUAUGUAUGUAUUUCUAGAUACAUAUUUGGUCAUUAGAUCAUUUCUUGAUUUUUAAAAUUUUGACUUAUUUAUAAAUUUUUUUCUAUAAGUAGGAUUUAUAUUACAAACCACACGUAUGAAGAGAUUAUUUUAAUUUUAGUAACACUUAAAUUAUAUCAUGUAUUAAAAAAAUAUUUUCUAAUAAAAUUUCUUGACUUAUAAUUGUCUAACUAAAAUUUUCAAGGUGUUAAUUACUUACCAAAAUCUUUCUAAAUGGUUGAUUUUGACUAGAUUUAAUUUAUCCAUGUUUUUUCCUAUCCCACAACUACCUUGAUACAAAGAAAUAUGGACCAAUAUUGGAUAGUGAUUUGGUUAUUUUUUAUCUAUAAUUUUUGGUUUAAAAAUUUUCGUUUUGUUUGGUUUUUUGUUAAAUAGUGAUUAAGAGUGCAAGGAUAAUAUUGUCAAUUUGUGACUUUUGAUAAGGAUAUUUAGUCUUGUCAAACUGAUAGGGAAGGUAAGUGAAAUUUAAAAACCUUAAGAGAGUUGAGUGAUAUUGUGAAAAACCUCAAGAAAGGUUUUUGAAAUUAUCCCCUAGAUUUGUAGAAACCAUUUAGAGUAAGCGUCAAUUCCAGUUUUGCUCACCAUUGGCUUCACUGCCACAUCCUAUGGUAGUUCAAUAGUAGCUAUAAUUUUAUAGGGUUUUUUUAUCACUUUUUUCUCUUAUUUUUUGUCUCCUAUAAAUAGAAUAUCAAGAAGCAUUGAAAGUAUCAUUAAGAAGGUUACAAACAAUGUAGUUGUUAACUAAAAUAUAUAUAUAUUUAUUUAAAAAUCUAGUGUAGGAUUAGUGUAGAAUUUAUUUGUUUUUGCAAUUAAAAUUUGGGAAAGAGUUGAAAAUUCAAUGAAAUGGAGCUUUUCUUCGGUAUUUUGGCAUUAGAACUUCUUUCCUUUACUCUUUAUUUCUUGGUAUUCGAAUUCAAUGUUUAGUUUUAAAGUAAAUUUGUGUUUCUUUUCAUUUUAUUAUGAGUUACUAAAUUUUAUUCACUAGGGUUAGGAUGAAGUUUCUUCUUUGUUAGAUGAAUUCAACCUGGUUAGUUUUACUAUAGUUUGUAUAAGCUAUUAAUACAUUUGUUUUUAUAAUUACAGUGAACAAACCAUUAUUUGUAAUCGAUUGUAAUUCCUAGUUUGUAAAAGCACUAAAUCGAAGUUGUAGACUCAUGAAAAUAAAUACACAUUUGUGGCUCAAAACAGGCAAUUUCACGAAAGCUAAUGAACUUGUAGCAAGUUUUAUACCACGAAAGUAUGGAGUUGUAUAAUAGAUAUGUGGGUACACUAGCAAAAGUAGAUAUCUCAUACGUUAAGAGAUUAUGUCAUUGUUUAGCCAACAAAUGAAAACUCAAUUUGGCAGUUUAUUGUUAUUUUUUCUACCAUUUUUUAUAUGUUUUGUAAUUUAGAUUAAUUUACUCGCUAUUAUCAUCAGUCUAAUUAAUAGAAGAGUUACAUCAAUGAAUUGAUUAAUUUUUCUUGUUAGAUCGACACUCAAAUUCUCUUGCUAACUUGUGUACUUGUAGAAGAAAAAGUCAAGUUUAAAUAAACUUUAUACCAAGUUUCUGGCAUGUAUUGCCAGGAAAGAAGCCAAUCAAUGUCAAUAUUAAGCACAUAUUUUAUUAGUUUAGACACUUUAAUUCUUGUUUCUAGUGUUUUAAAUAUCUAGGAUAGUGUGUUAUCGGUUUCAUUUCGUGUUUUUAAUUAAUUUUAUUUGCAAUACUUAGUUACUAUCUAUUUUCUUGACUAAUUGUGCUUUUGAAAUAGAAUUAAAGAAAAUUUUAGGAGUUGAAGGAAGAUAUUUCAAGAAAAGCAGAAAAGUUAUGAGAGAAGGAAGAUCAAUACUACUUCUAAUGCACCAAUAGAAGAGAUAACCAAAGAAGUGCUCCGAGUAUACUUGAUUCAGAUGAAAUUAUAUUAUUAAAAACUAAAUUGGACAAUUUGAUGCGCAUGAUUGAACAAAAUUGGAAAGUAAUGUCCUUUCAAAUUAUAGAACUUCUACUUUAUGUGGUGGAUAGCAUGCUACUUAUGAAUGUAUGCAAGUAUAAUAUAUGGAUCAUUUUGAUGAAUUUCAGUAAUAUAAUUCCCAUUUUAGUCAAAGUAAUCUUGGUUGCAUGAAAUAUUUUAAUUUUGAAUUAAGGAAUCAAUGUAACUAUGGUGAAUCUAUUACUUUCCCUAUUUUCUAAUUGGAAUUUGUGCAAAAUGAAUCUACAUUAUCUUAGGAGUUAGCCAUUAAACAGCUAGCAAAUGUGACUUCUAAACACUUUGAGAAAUGCAACAAUAAUUAGAUAGAAUUGAAUAAAGGAUAAAUCAAAUCACUUUGAACCUCAAAGUAAUGGUUGAACUAUUAGAUAAGUUAAUGAAUGCUAUACAUGAAGUUAAUUCACCUAGUAAAAUUAAAAUCAACUGCAGAUGGAAUAGUAAAGUUGUCACAUAGGAAAGUGAAUUGCACUUUGAAGAAAUGAUGAACAUAAUUGAAACUAUAAUGAGAACAUUUUCGCUUCACUAGAUAAUGUCUUGGAAGUUGGACCUUGAACAUCAAUAGAUAACUAUUAACAAUUAUUUUUAAACCUAAGUUCAAAAGACAUCAUCAAUCAAGCUAAACCUAUUGGAUUUUUUUAGUGAGUUCUCAUGUAAUACACAAAAGAGAUACUGUCAAAGAAACACUUGAAAGAGGUAAAACACUUCCGCCUCUCUCACUAUUUGAUUAUAUGGCUCUUAAAAUUAAACCACCUUUUGAGCUACUGAGGUGGAUAAAUAUUCUUCCUUUCAACUUAAUGGCUAUAUAUUAUGUAAGAAAUAAUCCAUUCAUGGUAGAUAGAAGUGGAUUGGAGUUGCUUUUUGUUGCCUUACCAUGACUUAAAAUAGUGAAUUAUUCCUUCAAGAAAUCUCCUUGAAAUAUGGAAGUAUAGUCAAGUUAAUAACUAGAAAGAAGCACAUGUUAGGAGCCACCUAAUAUUAUUUCCAUUUCAUUUCCAUAGCUUUUGCUUUAGUUACUUUUUUUUUUGGGUGUGUAAUAAUUGGGUUAUGGUACUUUGAUAUCUUGUCAUUUAUUUUGAUGCCUCUUUAAUGAAUUUGCCAAGUUUGUCUAUCUUCAUUUGUGUAAGAGCAAGUUGAAUGUUCAUCAUAGGAUAACAAUCAAACUUUACCACAUUAAUGCUGACUCAUGUUAACAUAUAGUGGGAGUAUCUCAUGCUAAUUUGUUUCAUGUCUAUCUGUGUUAAAGAUAAUUUGAAACUUAGGAGUGAAGAACGUGUUUUGAGUUGAAACUUGAUACUUUCCUAUUUGUUGAUAUGAGCUCAUGAGCAGGACAUCUUGAGAUUGUGAUUGUGUGAUAGGUUAUAAUUUGUUACUACAUUUAUAAUUAUUUUUCCCUUUGAUUUUAGCCAAAUAUUAUAUUAAUUGACGAAUUCUACUUAUAUUUGGUUAAUGGUGCUAAUUGUAGGAAAAUAAUCAAAACAUGAUUAAAAGGGACAAUUUCCAGCUAAUUUAGUAGUGGCACAUUCAAGUUCAGAAGAUUUAGGAUUAGAAGUUUCCAAGUCCGAGUAGAAGUCAACAAGAGCACGAGGUUGAAGAUUGGGAGAAUUUCUUUAAUAGUUAUUUUUAUAUUUUUAGGAAACGAUUCACAUUAUCUUCAGCAACUUUUCCUUUUCAAUUAGGAGAUUUCCUAGCUUGAUUGGUGCGGAUGAAGAGCAAAGUGGAGUCAAAGUGGGGCUCUUUCCUCUAGUCUUCAUAUGGCCGUAUAAGACAAGGAAACAAUUAAAAGAAAAAGGAAGUAGACUUAGCUUAGGAGAUUGAUUCCUUUCUUUUAGCGGGUUGGCCUUGUUGUUUUUCUUGGUCCGUCUCUUCUAUUAGUACGACGGAGAACAUAGCUUUGUUUGCGGGAAUGACUUCUGCAAUUUUGCAUGGAAUUUCCUCCAUGAAGAUGAAAUAACUUCUUUUUCUAGUCAAGGGUUAAUUUGAAGACGCGGUUUCAAAUAUCUAUGAGAUCGAAUUAUUUUACUUAUUUCUUUUAUUCAUUAGUAUUCGUACGUUUUCUAGUUUAAUUGCUUAUGAUUGUUUUGUUAUUUGAAUAUCAAGGGCCCGAUAUUUGAAUUAACCUAAUAAUCUACUGUCAUAUUAAUUGAUUGAAUCCGUAAUUAUUCAGUUGGUUAAUACCAGUGGUGACUAAUGUGAUUGGUUUCAUGUUAGGGAAACGUAUGAUCUAACUUAAACAGACUCUCGUAGCGUGUUUGUUGGUUUGGUUUAGAUUUUUCUAAUUCUUAUUGCAAUCGAGAAAUUAAAUCCUAUGGUCGUACUUAGGGUUGUCUCUUGGUUAGAGAAAUAGUCAACGGUCUUACCUUGACUAUCAAACAAGUAAGGAAAUGCUGGUUGUUUAUCGCGUGUAUGACAACUAUAACCAAUCUAUUAAUGAGUAAUUGAAUUAUCUCUGCAUCGAUGAUCAGUUGAAUGGACCGUAUCUGAAAAGUUACACAUUUGACUAGAGUCAUAUUGGUUGUUGAUUAAUUCCUGUUUAUUUCUAUUAGUUAUUUUAUUAGUUGGUUAAUUAGUCAUUUUAUAUUUUUCAAAAAUCCCCCAUCUCUGGACUCUAAAAGAAAUAAGUUAUCCCCAAUCUCUGUGGAUUCGACCCUACUCACCGCUAUAUACAAAAUUUAUAUUUUUCUCGAGAAGGUAUUUAUUAUUGUACAGGCUCGACAGCCUAUCAUUGUGUGAACUUAAAAUUUUUUUUAUUUUGAGAAUGGUACUGUAUUAUAAAGUUUGUCAUGCCGAGAUUUCUUUGAGUUAAUGAAAUCUAUUGUUCAUAUUAUAUUUAUGUGAGUUGGGACUAGAAUAAUUGAUGAAUACAAGACUUUUUUUAGUGAUUGUCUCUUUUGUUCUAGGUUUUUUUUCCAAGGAUUAAGUAAAGUAGUUUUCUCUUUUGCAAGAGAAAAAAAGGAAGAAAAAGAAAUAAAAUGUGUGUUUCAAUAAAGAGCAUUCUUAUAAAAGUACUUAGUCACCAGCGAUUUUCAUCUAUUAAUGUCGACUUUGAUAUAAAAUAGUAAAAUUGAAGGUAUGUAAAGCAACUAGAGUUUGUAAUUUGAUUGGGUAAUUGAGGGCAUUUAUCCACUAAUGUUUACUUUCACGUCAAAAUACAGGUUCAUUACUUAAGUACGAUUUAACAAGAAAAGAAAAGAAAGGAUGAAAAGUGAAAAAAGCAGGAAUUUUCUCCGAGUUUUCUAACCUUGUUUGUAUUAGUUAUAAGGUGUGGUUUCAAAUUAAGUUUUUACAUUUGUUGAUUAUAAUAGUUACAUGAGAAGCAUAAUUAGAUUAAAGAUAAUAUAUGAUAUAGAUUUGAUCAAAUAUUAAGAUGAUAAACUUUUCUUUAUUUGAUAUUAUAAAGUACUAAAAUUAGAAUUUAAAGUUUGAAUGAUGAUUAUCUUUGAUGUAGAACGAGGACCCCGUGGGCUUAGGCAUCCAUCAUCCCCAUCUUAAGAAAUUAUUUAGAGUCGAAUUUAGGAUAAAUGUUAUAAUAUAGUUUUAUUCAUAGUUUACCUAUUUUAAAUGCGGAUUUUAUUAUUAUUAUUGCCUGUCAUCAGGAUGCGUGAUAGUUGGCCAAAAGAAAAUUGUUUCGAGGCAUUAUUAUUGAAGAUUUGCAGACGGAUUCUCAGUAGAGCCUCGUGGAUCUAUCCGUAAGUCAUUUUCGGAAACUAAUUCCAAUGAUGUCGGGCGCCGAACAUUGGGUCGGACAUUGUCCGGGCUUUGGGGGCGGUUGAACACAACUCCAGUUCAUUUAGAGUUUUUCUUGUGUUUUUUGUUUCCUUGUUGGGGUAGGACAUUUUAACCUAUAAAUAGGCAUACCUAGGAUUUUUGUAAUAUGAAUUUUCUCUUAUUAAUCAAAUAUUGGUUGGUUUUAUCCAAUUGUUGAGAAUUUCCUUUUGUCUCUUUCGAAUAUUUGAUUUGUGUCUUGGAGUUUGAUCGUGAAUCGAUCGCCCUUGUUCUUUUCUAUAAAUUUCGUUCAUGAAUCAAAUUCUAUUUUUACGCUUCUGCUAUCGCAUCAAUCGCUUUCAUGCCUUAAACAUGAGUUUGAAUAUGUUGACACUUCAAUACUUUUAUUUGUUUACUUUGGUUUGUUUUUCUUUUCUUGCCUGCAAAAUAGGAAAUGAUUCAAGUGUCACAUUACUUGUUUAGUGAGGAUAACAUAUGUGCUUUGGUAUAUAUUUGUGGCUGUUUUAGUGUCAUUUUAGCUGAUAAAAUAUCGAGCCAAGUUUUUGGUUGAUUUACCAUCUGGAAUGUUGAGUAAAAAAAACACUUCUAUUGGUUUAGUUUCUGAGAUCUUAUAUAUUGAAGUGCUGUGGGAAGUCAAAACACAUUGGAAUGAAGAUUGAAAAAUCUUUGCAUGUUUAUGUGAAGAAUUUGAUGUGCUUUUAAUUAGACACGAAGUGAAACCAAGAAGAAAUGAAGCAAAAUUAAGAACGAACAAGAAAAGAGGCAAUAAAAGGAAGUCCACGGUUUAGCCGGCUAGAAAAAAGACUACACUAGCUUGACUGCCUGGCUGCAACUAGAUUCUUCAAGCUUGCAGAAACCAGCCAGAGUCGGCGUCGGUACCAGUUUUGCUCAUCAUCAUCGGCUUCCCGGCCAGUUUCUAUGGCGGUUAAGGUUUCUUCCUAGCGUUUUCCUCAAAUUUUCUCCUAAUUUUGGUGAAAUUGAAAUUUUUCCACACUAUCUAUAGCAACUUUGAAUUGAAUUGUGAACCAUAUCUUGAGAAUAUUUAUUUAAACCUACUUUUGGCCAGUAGAUGAAACCUAUGAUUUACCAUUACAUAGAGAGAAUUCUAACCUGCAUAUGAGAUACAUGUUUACUCUGCAAUCUAUUUAAACCCUUAUAAGAAGUUAUCAUCAUGUAUGAAUUUCUGACCUAUAAACGUGAACUUGUCUUCAAUUUUUUCAGCUAGAAAUCAUCAACAGCUUGUCAUUUUUGCUUCUUACAAACUUAAUAGAAUUUCCAAGCUCUCGAUAUGAUGCCUGGUUGUUUGUGUGACAAUUACUUACAUUUUCCUCUGUUCAUUUAUAGUCGCCUUAACCAAAAUUUGCUUGGCAAGUUUCCCUUGAUUCCAAAAUCAUGGAGUCUUCCCCUUCUUCCACUAUUUCCAUUUAUUACUAAAAGUUUUUUUUUCUUUUUUUUUUGUCAUAACGGCAUAUCUAGCAUAGUCUAAUCCACUUCUACUCUUGGGGGAACCUAUUCUACGGGGUGGCUCAACUGAAUUGGGGAAACCUGACGGGAACUGAACUACUAUCAGACCAGACGGGUGCAUCACACACCCGUAUAGAUUUAGAACAAAUCUCAUAUUGAGACACAUUGAUGGGAGGCAAGAUUUGAACCCUUAGACUAUCCACUCCAUAAUUAAUGUGGUGGCCAACUCCUCUAGAGGGAGUUGGUUUUAGGUCAAUUUAUUACUAAAAGUUUGUUUUAGGUCAAUUUGCAGCAUCUAUACUAUCCUAAUCUAUAAAGAAGGAAAAUCUAAUUGAGUUGUAUAGGGAUUAUAUAGAAGACAGACCAAUCUAGACCAAAAAGGCAAUCUGGCACAUCCUUUAAAUUUUUUAACUAAAAGGGUGCGAAGCUUGAACCUCCAAUCUACGACCCAAAAUGGGAUUUUUAAUCCAAAUUGACGUAUACCAAGCUGCCUGCGGCACCUGUUGCAAAAUCAGCCAUAUCUAUCCUUCCUACCAUUAGUUACAUAAAAAGGUUCAGGUAGACAGAUUCCAUGUUUAAACAGUAAAGCAAACAGAUGUGAUAAUGAAUAUGUUGUGCUACCAUGGACCAUUGCAGUCUGUCAGGAAUAGGUCGCAUAAACUAUUGCAGUUUGUCACUGAUAGACAUUAGACCCUAUAUCAGACACUAGGAAUUAAUUAAUCAGGGAGGCCUUAUUGCAAAUCGCUUAGAGACUUUAUCCUCUGCAGUCUUGUCUAAAAGCGGUACACUGAGGAAGGAAGCGACAGCACCUCUCACCAGUAAAAUCUUGAGGUCACAAGUUCGAGUCUCCGUUUCGCUGGAUUUCUCCGCGCACUUAACGUGUUCGGGCCGGAUUAGGGCGCCGGGCCCGGACCGCAGAGAAUUAGUCAGACCCCGUAAGGAUUGACCCAAACACCCCUGUGUUGACCAAAAAAAAAAAAAAAAAAAAGGAAGGAAGCUUAGCUAGGAACCUCUGUACAUUUACCCUUUGCAAAGCUUUCGGACAAGGUAAAUUUAUUUGCACGGUUAGUCUACCUUUACCCACUCUUGCUUUCGUCUCUUUCCAAACUCGAUGGAAAGGCCUGCCAUUAGCUGCUUGAAAGCGGCAGCUUAUUCUGUGCUCCACCAAAAUAUAUUUUCAGGUGUCCUUCUUUUUCUUUUUUAUUUUUUAUUUUUUGGUCAUCUAAAUUAGCUUUUUAGACUUGAAAAGACCAAUUCACAAUGAAAGUUCAUUUAAAUAACAUUAAACAAAAAAGUUAAAACUCUAAAAUCCAUAUUAAACUAAAUCCGCAAGUAGCAAAAAUAAAAAAUAUGAUUGCAUGUUUUCCAGCUCAACACUAGUACAGUGAAAGGGCCUCAAUCGCUACUAUUGUAGAAGGCUCACAUGCUUCAAAGCGGUUAAGGUUUCACAUUUCCUCUUCCUUUAAAUUUUUAAAGAGAAUGUUCCAUGGGGAAAUUCAGGUUCGUCGUCUUUUUGCAGAAACAUCAUGUAGCAAGACCUGUAUUGAGAGAAAUAGAUCUCAGCUUGAAAAAAUGUCGAUUAUAGCAGUGGAGGAAUCAAGGGUUCAUGAAGGUUGAUUGGAAAGACAUUCUCCAGGGGGAUUUAUCCUGUUGAUUGUUCGCUGAACUCUAUUUCCUCAACUCCAGCAGUAGCAGGUUGCUCUGACUGCUCGGAUGCCGCUGAAGAGGGUUGCCUU